Long non-coding RNA from Sarcophilus harrisii (Tasmanian devil), 2906 nucleotides. The record is from Ensembl. NCBI's taxonomy places the organism in Eukaryota, Metazoa, Chordata, Mammalia, Dasyuromorphia, Dasyuridae.
GAGAUGGACAGUGGAGGUCAUCUUGAUCUCCUGGGGGAUGAUGUCAUCUUACCAUAAAACUCAGAACACUUUAGCCAGCUUUUGUAUGAGCAGUGUGGACUUCUUGCCUUGUAGAUACCUGUUGGAGUGCUUUGCUAUAAGAGGGGAGCCUAAUGCUAUUCAGUACCUCUUUUUCCAUUGGAAAUUCAGCUUGAGAAGGAUUUCAACUAGAGAUCCUCCCUUCUUCACACCAACAAUCCACUUUUACAAACCACCAAAUUUGGUGCUAGCUAGCGCUGAACCGAAUAUGAAAUAGCCUCGAGGAUUCUGCAACCAAAUGGAACUGAUUAUACAACGAAAAAUAAACUUGAACAGGGCUCUGGGACAUCAUGUAAUGUAUUUUACUAUGUUUUGCGAAGUUAUAUGCAUUUGGAAGCAAGAAAAUUUGUUUUCAAGUACAGUGCCCUUCCUUUAGAAAACCAAAACACAAUGCCUGUUUUGGAAGAGAAAAAGAGCAAAUAAAUGAGAAGAUCAUUAUUCAGAAACUAACCAUUUGUUAUUAACUAUGAAAUAAAUCUAAAGGGGAGAGUUUGAAUCAGAGCAUGGCCUACCACACAAAGCGUGUGCUUAGCUUCAAAGUGGUUCUGAUCUGUUUAACUAUGUGCAAAGAGACAUUCUGAUAGCACUCAGCAGACUGUGAACCUUUUGGAGGGGACAGACAGUUCUUAAAUACCUGUCAUCAGUAUUACAUCGUAGACACACUAAGAUGGAACAGAAAGAUUCUCAUGUCAAGCCUUCACUAUUACUACAACACAAAUGACUUCAUCUGUGCAAUUAGUGAACAGGCUGUUCCCGCUUGGGAAACAGUUCCAGAAGGAGAAGCUUAUUUGGGGUUUGAUUUGUCCAUUUUUUCUGUUGUGAAUGUUGCAACUUUAGGCCGACUCAAUCUCUCAACUUAAUGCUUGCUGCCAAAAUGAGAAAGCUCUGCCCUUAAAUGAUUAAGACAAAUAAAAAAGAGGGAAAAGUAAAUUAAACACAGUCUUUCUAUCCCCAAACUACAGAUUAUAUCUACCUACACCUUAUUAUCUCUGUGGUCAAAAUGUUUUAGCACUUUCACAUCUGUAAAGUCAAAUUAAAUGGAUUUCUACUUAAUAAUUUGGCUUUUUCCAAAGCCAUGCUUUGCUACUAUUAUCAUUACCUUAUUGAGCUGUUUUAGCAACUAAUUUUCGAAAGCUGAAACUAAUUAAAUUCUUUUACUUAAAGGAAAUCAAAAGCAAAGGGAAGAGAACCUUUUCUUUCUCCAGUUUCUACUAUCUGCAGAGAGUAGGCUGUAGCUAAAGGCAGACCUUUGGAGAUUUAGAAUUACUAUGAUGGUAGCAGAAAUGAGAAAUACCUCCUUUAAUGGUCGUGUCUUAAGCUUCUAAUAACAUAAAAAGGUCACAUUAUUUACACAUUCGAAAAAGGAAGAAACUCCCCGCCCCCCACCAGAAAAUGGAGGUGUAGAGAUUGCUUUCUUAACUUUUGACUCAACAGUGAGACUGAAUAAGUAUUCCCAAAGCCCUACUUAAUAAAGGAAAAAAAAAAAAACCCUAAAAGGAGUUUCCUGUUUUUUCAUAUAGGCCCUUCUUCCAAUCCUAAUAUAUCCUACAUGUUGGCAGACACUGGGGACUAUCAGCAAGUUAUUAAAGAGAUACCAGUUUCUUCCAUUAGCAAGUAAAAAGUGAAUGUGGUUGGUAGAACAAUAGAUCAUGGAGUGUUCCCAUUAAAAAGUUAUUUAUGUUGUUGUUUGACUGGUGACCUUAUUAUGUAUUACAUCCUCAUCCCAUUUGAGAGUUUGGGGGAAUGUAUUUUCUAAGCAAAUAAUUUUCACUUAAAAAAAAAGACAUUUCAUUCAAUUCCAGACCUGAUUUUAAAAGAGAACAAAAGCUAUUAUUUUAUAACUUAAGACUCUUGUAUUGUACAGUUUGGCUUCUGUCAUGCUGUAAAAAGAAAGUUUUUUUUUUUUUUUUUAAAUCAAAAAUGUUAAUAGAAAUGAAUCAAAGCCAGGAUGCAGCAAUGCUGUGAUGGGACUGUGCAAUCACAUCUGUUAUCUGCUUGAGAUAGAAUUUAAUGAACUUGAUUUCAAUGUACAAUCCACAAUAUGCAAUAUGUUCUUUUAGACACACUAGGAGAAAGCAAACAGGGGAACUAUGUGUGCCCAACCAUAAGUGUGUAAGACAUUCAAGAAAGUGGUGUGAGUUCAAAGGAAGGAGGAUGGCUUCUGGUAGGGGCAGCUGGGAAGAUCAUAAGCGACUUGGGUCUAAAAAGAUAUUUGGUUUUUUGCCAGAGUGAAAGAAAUGGCAGAAAUGGAUAUUUUCAAAGAUUUGUUGGGACUUGAUACCACACAAAGGCAUUCUCCAGCACAGGCAGCAGGAUGGAAGACAAGACAAAUGUUCCAGCACUGGCCAAUUUCAAGUACUUUCCAGGUUUUUUAUUGUCAAUGAUAGCUCUGGACUUAAGCCAGAGAUCACUAAUUUGGAAUACAGAAGACAUGAAAAUGCAUCAAAAAAAAUGUACCAGAUUCCACAGCUGUUCAAUGGAUACAAAUUGAUCAGAAAUCUUAUAGCCACCUGAGUUAUUAACAGUGAGUUGUUGGGCAUGGAACAUAAAUAUUUCUCAGGACAUUGGUUUGUUAAACAUUUUCAUUAAAUGUGGGUAGUUCUUCCAUAAAACCUUUCUAGACUACAGGAAUGAGACUCUUACCUGAAAUCAGAGCCUUCAUUAUCUAUACUAUUCCUUUGACAAUGAGUCAGAUAAGAUAUCUCGCAGCAUUUUUUUUUCUUGUCUUCCAUUGUUUAAUGUUUAUAUUAUCAAACAUAAUUUUUAAGAUUUUCGAUUUUGUCUCCGUAGAUUUGGAGUUCUCUGAGAACUUCCUUUUCACAUAGGAA